Molecule: long non-coding RNA, 2005 nt
Filed under: Musa acuminata (dwarf banana)
Lineage: Eukaryota; Viridiplantae; Streptophyta; Magnoliopsida; Zingiberales; Musaceae
Description: long non-coding RNA (MACU_LNC000517)
Source: RNAcentral
AAGGAAUGAGAGUAAGAGAGAGCAGGUGACUAUGCCUCUAUGUUCUGCAUGAGCUGCAGUUGUGGAGGAAAAAGAGAAGACAUAUGUAGAACACAAAACAGGGAGAGGACACAGAGGAAAAGUAGAAGGAUUUGGGCUGACACCUUCUUCGAAUCUUUGGAUCGAAACCUUCAAAAGGCAAGUUUCCCGAUCGUUUCUCCUGUAAUUGUUCUAAUUUUUCUUAUUGCAAGUAUUAUGAUCUUCUUCGUGCAAGUGUUCUUAUCUUUCCUAUUGCAAGUGUUCCGAUCCUUCCUAUUGCAAGCUUUCUAAUCUUUCCUAUUGCAAGUGUCCUAAUCUUUCCUUACUGCAAUUUUAUCUCUACAUUUGAUUUGAAUAUGAGGAACUUUGAAUUGUUCUAGCCUUACAUUUGAUAUAUCUUUUGUUUAGACAUAUCGAUCCGAAUCUAUGCAACUUCUGAGAUUCUGACCUUUCUACCUUGCUAUGAUUAUAACUUCAUGUAUUGACCUUCGAUUUGGACAAAACUUAUCUGAUCGGAAUAUAGACUCAUAAACCUUUCUUUUGAUAGCUUUAUUGAGUAUAUUGGAGCACGAUUGAUAGUUUGAAUCAUUUCUUCAAUGUGUCUCUUGAAUUCUGCCAAAAAUCGAGCUUUGGUCGAUUUCGCAUAUUCUGGUUUCAUUCCUUUGAAAAUUGAUAUCCUUUGGCUUUCUUAUUCAAUUAAGCUUUAUAUUACUACUUUGAAUUCUUGUAUGCUCUUGUCCUUAAAAUUAUUUGUAUUCUUGAAAACUAUUGUGUAACGUUUAUGCUAUAUCGUAUUGACUCAUAUAGGCUAAUGUAUAUCCCAUUGUUCAGCAUUUGCUUUCGAUAUGUGCCUAUUCCAGUUUCAUUCCUUUGGACAUUGAAUUCUUCUAACCAUCUUAAUUGAAUUGAGUUAUAUGUGAUUGCUUGGAAUCCUAGAAUGCUCUUGCUUUUAUUUCCUUUCAAAUCUGAAUACAAUUGUGAAAGAUUAUUGCUUACUUCGUAUUGACUCGUAAAGGCACAUGUACGUUUUGUUGUUCCGCGUGUGCUUCCGAUAUGUGCUAUUCAUUGUUCAUACUAUCCUUUUGUACUCUAGUGUUGUGGGAUAUUGUGAACCUUUGCCAGAAAUGAUGAAGGGAGUUAUACAUAGAGCUUGUGAUGCUCUGCCGGCCCUUAUGACUUCACUCAGACGUGGGUGGAUGGAGCUCCCAAACGUGGGAGACCUCCUAGACGUGGGAGACUUAUGUUUGGUGGUCAUUCAGAAAUGGAUGUACCAUAUUAUGUUAUGGACCCACUUCACCUUCUGUAUGUUUGAUAUGAUAUCCAGAGCUUUGGUUAUGUGUUUCUAUACGUGCUUUGGAUAAGAAUGAUAUGAAUGCAACGUCAAAUUCGACGUUUGAGCUUCUGUUUCACAUUCGUUAUUGAUAUGCUCUAAAAUAUUUCCUAUGCCAUUGAUAUACUACGAAAUGCUUCACAUACCAUUGAUAUAUUCCGAAAUAUUUCAUUUGUCAUUAAUAUGCUCUGAAACAUUUCAUACGCCUUUGAUAUGCUCCGAAAUGUUUCAUUUGCUAUUGUUAUGCUCCUAAUGUUCCAUUUGUCAUUGAUAUGCUCCGAAACAUUUUAUACGCCUUUGAUAUGCUCCGUAAUGUUUCAUUUGCUAUUGUUAUACUUCGAAAGGUUCUAUAUGUAGUUGAUAUGCUCCGGAACAUUUCAUACGCUAUUGAUUUGCUCCAAUUACUCUAUGCUCCAUCUGUUAUGAACCAAAUAGGUUUUGAAUGACAUGACACAUAUAAUUUUAUAUCUAAUGAGAUGGUAUCUUUGAGAAUUCUUGUAUUCUGCCUUGCAUUAUGAUAUCUUACUUGUUUGAAACCAUUUCUUUUGUUCUGAAUAUGCUUUGUCACUUGUUGAGCUGUUUUUAGCUCACUCUAUUGUUAUAUAAAUCUUUCAGGUCAAGUUGUCACUCUUUGAGAUGUUUUGAAUUGGGCUGAGG